Molecule: ribosomal RNA, 253 nt
Filed under: uncultured bacterium
Lineage: Bacteria
Description: partial 16S ribosomal RNA
Rfam family: Bacterial small subunit ribosomal RNA
Source: RNAcentral
UACGAAGGGGGCUAGCGUUGCUCGGAAUGACUGGGCGUAAAGGGCGCGUAGGCGGUUUGGUUUGUUAGGCGUGAAAUUCCUGGGCUUAACCUGGGGGCUGCACUUAAUACGGCCAGGCUUGAGUGUGGAAGAGGGUCGUGGAAUUCCCAGUGUAGAGGUGAAAUUCGUAGAUAUUGGGAAGAACACCGGUGGCGAAGGCGGCGACCUGGUCCAUUACUGACGCUGAGGCGCGAAAGCGUGGGGAGCAAACAGG